Molecule: long non-coding RNA, 782 nt
Filed under: Homo sapiens (human)
Lineage: Eukaryota; Metazoa; Chordata; Mammalia; Primates; Hominidae
Description: non-protein coding lnc-ANKRD20A2-15:3
Source: RNAcentral
CUUUAACUGAAGGGCACUGACUGGGUCACUGGUGAAGUUCCCCGCAGGAACUGAGUCAGACCCCAUCUCAGGGCCCUGCACAAGAUAGGUGCCUGCUCUAAGGCGUGGACCCUCGCCACAGCCCUGGCCCGUCUUGACGGGCGAGGGUUACUGUACUUGUCCCAACCGUACAGAUGAGAAAGCUGAGACUCAGGGCGAGCAACCCGGGUCCCAGCGGAGCGCCCGGCACACGCCGACACUUCAGCACCAGUCGCGGUGGCCACCACUGUGCGCGGAGAUGGCUGCGACGCGUGCGCAGAUCUCGAUCCCAAACUCCCUCCUGCCAGAAUCUGGACCCGAAUCCACCCAUUGCCCGUUUUCUGCUGCCGCUGGAGAGAAUCUCUGAGGUCCCCAGGAGAGCCUGCCUGCACGGAAGAGAUGCCUCCUCAGUAUGGCCGCCCCCGGAGAGGAGCGAUUAAGUGCAGACCUCCAUGUUGCUCUUGAGCCUGAGCGGCUUCAGGGAGCCAUGUUUGUUACUGGCGGGCGCCGACCUCACUGAGCAUGUGCAGCCCUGGCCGGGCGGCCUCAAAGUUCUGACAUCACAGGGCGGUUCCUGAAGUGGACGUAGUUGUAAGAGCUAGUUAUUUUAGACAAUGCCUCUGGGAUCAGGGACUCUAAUCUGGAAAUAGGUAGUAGGAGAGGUCGGUGAUGCAGUCUCUGGAUCAGAGACCUGAGCUAUAUGGGGUUAGAGAGGGGCCCUGGGCAGGCGAGUCUCUGGGGAGUGUGGUGAGAAUCCUUGUGUA